Molecule: ribosomal RNA, 400 nt
Filed under: uncultured bacterium
Lineage: Bacteria
Description: bacterial SSU rRNA
Rfam family: Bacterial small subunit ribosomal RNA
Source: RNAcentral
UAGGGAAUUUUCCACAAUGGGGGCAACCCUGAUGGAGCAAUGCCGCGUGAGAGAAGAAGGCCUUAGGGUUGUAAAUCUCUGUUAUAAGGGAAGAAAGAUAGCUAGAGGAAAUGUUAGUUAGAAGACAAUACCUUAUGAGAAAGCCACGGCUAACUACGUGCCAGCAGCCGCGGUAAUACGUAGGUGGCAAGCGUUAUUCGGAAUUAUUGGGCGUAAAGGGUGCGCAGGCGGUAAUCAAAGAUUGUGGUUAAAGAAUGGGGCUCAACUCCAUAAAGCCAUGAUAACUAGAUAACUAGAGUACAGAAGAGGAAAGCGGAAUUCCAUGUGUAGCGGUGAAAUGCGUAGAUAUAUGGAGGAACACCAGUGGCGAAGGCGGCUUUCUGGUCAUGUACUGACGCUG